UAACUAUUCACUAUGUCUAAAACUUCUACGUAAUUUUUCCCAGAACUUUUUGAUAAAUAUGCUUCUUUUUAUUUCUUCCUCUUAUGAUAGAUGAUAGAUAUUGUGCUCUACAUUAACUCUGGUCUCUCUAUCUUUUAAUAUCCAUGGACAAGCAUAAGUGAGACUAAACAAGAGGUGGAGAUCUGCAAAGAUGAUUAAAGUUUUUAGAAGAAACAGUAGAUUAUUGCGGGAGGGUGAGAAAAUGGCCAGUCCCAAUAAAUCCAGUCUUAUUGGAGAAGCAAACACUUUAUCUUCAAGAGAUAAAAGAGCCAAUCACUUGAAAAUGCAAUAAUUUGAGUAGCCACGUGGUGGUACAUCCUAACUCAAAAAACAAUUUAAAAGAAAAAAUAAACAGACAAGAAGGAAAGUUUAGGACGACAUGUGGAACACCUUUGAUCAUCAUGAAAUGAUUCUGUGGGCCCACUAUGAAUAUGAGCCCUCAAAACGCCAUGGCCAAGUCCAACUGGUCUUUCAUCAUCACGUGACCAGUUCUUUGUCGUCGUCGUCCUUUCCGUCCUUUUUCUUUUUUCCAAAAAUUUGUAUUUUCUAUAUAUGAACGAAAAUAUUUCAUAAAAA
Lycium barbarum (goji berry) is the source of this 615-nucleotide long non-coding RNA. RefSeq lists it as uncharacterized. The transcript has 3 exons. The record is from RefSeq and is a predicted model, not a curated record. Lineage: Eukaryota; Viridiplantae; Streptophyta; Magnoliopsida; Solanales; Solanaceae.